RNAcentral lists this non-coding RNA (45 nucleotides) under Candidatus Methylopumilus turicensis. RNAcentral's name for it is "Guanidine-II riboswitch aptamer (mini-ykkC)". It matches the Rfam family "Guanidine-II riboswitch aptamer (mini-ykkC)". From Rfam's summary of the family: Simpler in structure and has fewer highly conserved nucleotide positions than the ykkC-yxkD leader. Despite this each of its two stem-loop structures directly bind free guanidine. Lineage: Bacteria; Pseudomonadati; Pseudomonadota; Betaproteobacteria; Nitrosomonadales; Methylophilaceae. The record is from Rfam by way of RNAcentral. RNAcentral also lists the same sequence under 1 other name.
UCAGCAGGACGACCUGUUGAUCAAUCUAAUAACCGAGACGACUCG